GUGUUCUAUCCUUCAUUCCACCGGAGUCUGUAUCUGUAUUUAACCAGAUUUCAGUGGUGUGAAGUGCAAAAGACA
This 75-nucleotide microRNA precursor is filed under the name Poecilia formosa (Amazon molly). Its description in RNAcentral is "mir-205 microRNA precursor family". It matches the Rfam family "mir-205 microRNA precursor family". Lineage: Eukaryota; Metazoa; Chordata; Actinopteri; Cyprinodontiformes; Poeciliidae. The record is from Rfam by way of RNAcentral.